Molecule: non-coding RNA, 32 nt
Filed under: Rattus norvegicus (Norway rat)
Lineage: Eukaryota; Metazoa; Chordata; Mammalia; Rodentia; Muridae
Source: RNAcentral
UACAUGUACAGCACAGGAUCUUUCUCAUAUGU